This 140-nucleotide small nucleolar RNA is filed under the name Ornithorhynchus anatinus (platypus). Lineage: Eukaryota; Metazoa; Chordata; Mammalia; Monotremata; Ornithorhynchidae. The record is from RNAcentral.
CCCCUCUCAGGGUUUCACCUGGAGAGUUUCCGGUACUCUACUAGACUCGGCUACGGGAGGGAGAGUCAAGCAGAGGCCUACCCAUUCCAUUUCUAGCUUGGUCAGUGGCUAGCGAGUGGAAGGCAAUCUCUGCUACAAGU